AGAGUUUGAUUAUGGCUCAGGACGAACGCUGGCGGCGUGCUUUACACAUGCAAGUCGAGCGAGAAAGCCCCUUCGGGGGUGAGUACAGCGGCGAACGGGUGAGUAACACGUGGGCAACCUGCCCCAGAGACUGGGAUAACGUCCCGAAAGGGACGCUAAUACCGGAUGAUGCGUGACCUGCCAAGUGGGUCACGCCAAGUGGUAGCCUUGGCUUCUGCUCUGGGAUGGGCCCGCGCCGGAUUAGCUUGUUGGUGAGGUAAUGGCUCACCAAGGCGACGAUCCGUAGCUGGUCUGAGAGGACGAUCAGCCACACUAGGACUGAGACACGGCCCAGACUCCUACGGGAGGCAGCAGUGGGGAAUCUUGCGCAAUGGGCGAAAGCCUGACGCAGCAACGCCGCGUGAGCGAAGAAGGCCUUCGGGUUGUAAAGCUCUGUCAGGAGGGACGAAGCCACUCAGGUUAAUAGCCGAGAGGGUGACGGUACCUCCAGAGGAAGCCCCGGCUAACUACGUGCCAGCAGCCGCGGUAAUACGUAGGGGGCAAGCGUUGUCCGGAAUUAUUGGGCGUAAAGCGCGUGUAGGCGGCCAUCCAAGUCCGAUGUGAAAGCUCGGGGCUCAACCCCGAGUCUGCAUUGGAAACUGGUUGGCUUGAGUCCGGAAGAGGAGACUGGAAUUCCUGGUGUAGCGGUGAAAUGCGCAGAUAUCAGGAAGAACACCGGUGGCGAAGGCGGGUCUCUGGGACGGUACUGACGCUGAGACGCGAAAGCGUGGGGAGCAAACAGGAUUAGAUACCCUGGUAGUCCACGCCGUAAACGAUGGGCACUA
Molecule: ribosomal RNA, 824 nt
Filed under: uncultured Actinomycetes bacterium
Lineage: Bacteria; Bacillati; Actinomycetota; Actinomycetes
Description: bacterial SSU rRNA
Rfam family: Bacterial small subunit ribosomal RNA
Source: RNAcentral